GUAGUUCAGUUGGUUAGAACGCCGCCCUGUCACGGCGGAGGUCGCGGGUUCGAGUCCCGUCUCUCGCGCCA
This 71-nucleotide transfer RNA is filed under the name Rickettsiales bacterium. RNAcentral's name for it is "tRNA-Asp". It matches the Rfam family "tRNA". From Rfam's summary of the family: Transfer RNA (tRNA) molecules are approximately 80 nucleotides in length. The record is from RNAcentral. Lineage: Bacteria; Pseudomonadati; Pseudomonadota; Alphaproteobacteria; Rickettsiales.